This is a long non-coding RNA of Motacilla alba alba, 273 nucleotides long. RefSeq lists it as uncharacterized. The transcript has 3 exons. NCBI's taxonomy places the organism in Eukaryota, Metazoa, Chordata, Aves, Passeriformes, Motacillidae. The record is from RefSeq and is a predicted model, not a curated record.
GGCAUACUUGUCAGAUCAGGGAGGUUGUGUUUUCCCAGUAUCUCAGCAUCCUUUUUUGCUUUGUUUCCUUACAGGUGCUGUCACUGCCCUAGGUGUGCCAAGGAACAGAGGCAAGCGGGUAUCUUCUGGCCAGCCUCUGGAGUCGAAUCAAGAUUUGAGGUACCGUGAGGAGGUUUGUAGGCAAAGUUUGGAAAUGGCUGCACCAAAGCACAUGUCUCGAUGUCCACAUCCAACCGACGAUGGAUUUUGUUCGCUCAUCUUCCAAAAGCUAAG